GACGAACGCUGGCGGCGUGCCUAACACAUGCAAGUGGAGCGACGACCCAGGCUUCGGCCUGGUGCAAAGCCGCGAACGGGUGAGUAACACGUGGGUAACCUGCCCCGAUGAUUGGGACAACCCGAGGAAACUCGGGCUAAUACCGAAUGUGCCCUCCAGCCAUAAGGCUACUGGGGAAAGGAAGCUUCGGCCUCCGCAUCGGGAUGGGCCCGCGGCCCAUUAGCUUGUUGGUGAGGUAAUGGCUCACCAAGGCUACGAUGGGUAGCUGGUCUGAGAG
This 277-nucleotide ribosomal RNA is filed under the name uncultured bacterium. Its description in RNAcentral is "partial 16S ribosomal RNA". It matches the Rfam family "Bacterial small subunit ribosomal RNA", at positions 28 to 298 of the family's 1533-position model. The record is from RNAcentral.